This 465-nucleotide ribosomal RNA is filed under the name uncultured bacterium. RNAcentral describes it as "partial 16S ribosomal RNA". It matches the Rfam family "Bacterial small subunit ribosomal RNA", at positions 28 to 507 of the family's 1533-position model. The record is from RNAcentral.
GAUGAACGCUGGCGGCGUGCUUAACACAUGCAAGUCGAACGGAAAGGCUCCUGCUUGCAGGGGUACUCGAGUGGCGAACGGGUGAGUAACACGUGGGCGAUCUGCCCUGCACUUCGGGAUAAGCCUGGGAAACUGGGUUUAAUACCGGAUAGGACCACAUCAUGGAUGGUGUGGUGGAGAGUUUUUGGGUGUGGGUUGAGCUCGCGGCCUUUCAGCUUGUUGGUGGGGUAAUGGCCUACCAAGGCGUCGACGGGUGGCCGGCCCGAGAGGGUGUACGGCCACAUUGGGCCUGGAAUACGGCCCGGACUCCUACGGGAGGAAGCGGGGGGGAAUAUUGCACAAUGGGGGCAGGCCUAAGGCAGCGACGCCGGGUGGGGGAUACCGGCUUUCGGGUGGUAAACGCCUUUCGCUGGGGACGAAGCGGAAGUGACGGUACCUGGAGAAGAGGCACCGGCUAACUACGUG